UUGUUAAAAACAAUUUACACGGAAGAGCGUAUCAUCCAUACAAAUUUAGAAAGUUGCAAUAUACAGUAAGCCCAUUAUCCUUUGUUCAAAUCUGGACACAAGGUCUAAUAAAUAUAAGAAUUUUUAACUCCGAGAAUUUAACCGUUAGAUGGAAAGUUCCAUGGAGUAACCCGGAGUCAACAAACAACAAAUCCAACCCGUCCUUAUUAUGUAUCUAUGCCCAGAGAUAGGAGUAGUGGGACUAUUCUGUCGGCAGAGAAGGCAUAAUCAGCGUCCAUUUUUUGCCCAGAGAUAUGCUUCAGUCUUGAUGAAGGAGUAAAAGAGGUGAGUCGACAAGUAUCACCAGCAGGCGGAUAUCUUCAUCUAUGAUUCAAGGAUUAACUUUGGUAGAUCCUAUAGUUUGUAUAAAAUAUCUAAUGUAAAAUAAAUGUGUUUGCAAACGUUGCAUAUAGAUCCAAUCUGGCUUGUUUAUAUUGAGUUUCUUUAUUUAGAGUUUCUUUUUUAAUUCUCAUUCAAAGUUUAUAUUUUGACAUGCUAAACUCUUCAAGUACGUCUGAAAUGUUCAUUUUAGCUAGAUUGUUUUGAUUAAUACCACAGCUAGAUCCUAUUGUGUAUCGAUUUACCACUAAUCAAUAAACAAAGACGACAAAAAGUGUAUUCUGUCAGAAAACCAUCAGCGGUAUUUGGGAUUUAAAUAAACAAAUUGUUUUGUGUUUGCAGACAGUAAAUUUCACACUUUCCCGUUCAUUGUGCAAAUUUUCAGUGACUGAAAAGGUAAUAAAAAAUAUAAACAAUAAUUUGUUCUCCCAAAUCUUACAAUAAGUAAUAAUGUAUUACAACCCCGACAAAGUAAGUUUAAGGGGUUGUUUUUGCAGUUUUAGUAAGGACAAAUUAAACAACCUGAGAAUCAUGAAUGCAAACUAUAAAUGAUUCUUUGUUGUUUAGAAUGAGUUCAACGGAGACCCAGAAAUCAAGGAGGCAACAGAGGCCAGGUAUCCGCCCUGGUUUAGGCGUUAAGCAAGUGUCAAAAGCCCUGGUUAACCCUACCAAUUUAAUUGCGACAGAGUCAAUAAAGAGGAAAGCAGCCCUAACCUUGGAAGAAGUACAAAUCAAGAAAAAGUUUAAUAAGACCAUGCAGUCAAAAUAUCAGGGUGAAGCCCAAAUCCUAGAAGCACAGCAAACUCCAGUGUUGCAGUUACAGAAAGAAAAUAUUAAAACUGAGCAAUUAAAGAAAUCAAAGAUUGAAACUAACCACCUGGAACCAACAGAGGAGACCAGCAUGUUCACAUUUGGUCCAGAUGGUGCUGUUAAUAUCAGUCAUACAGAUUCCUGCCAAAACUGCAUAUGGAGUACAUGUCUCUGUACCCCUCAACCCUGCUGCUACAAUCAAUAUCCAACCAGUCAACGAUGGAAACCUGAAUGGAGCAGUUUCAGGCAUAUACAGACACAAGACACAACAGAAGGAUAAGUGUCUAACAAUUUUGAAUUGUAACUUAUCAGAGAAUUGCAUUGUUUUAAUGCCAGGGGAAGUUAUUGCACAUGGGUCAAUGUGCUUUGUCGAAAAAACAGAGAAAGCUGUAAUUAUUAACUCGGUCACACCUGGAAUUAAAAGUAGAAUGGUCACAGAUAAACUGUGGGCCCAUUAAAAGCUAGAAAAUAAUUUUAUUCUCAAACAAGUUCCAGAAAUUAGUAAAAAUUUGUACUCAAUGUUGAAUGAAUACCAAGAUGUUUUUACCAAUGACAGUUGUCAUGAGGGCAAAACAUCCUGGGAGACAUUCAAAAAUUGAGCUCCUGCCUUCUUCGAGACUGGUAAAACAGAGAGUGAGACCAUUAGCAUCCCCCUCCGUGAUAAGUUAAAAAAAGAAACUAUUGAAAUGGCUUCAUGAUGAAGUAAUUGAACCUUCUAAAUCUCCUUGGUCAUCACCUUUGGUGCCGGUCACAAAAAAGUCAGGUGCUGUAAGAUGGUGUGUAGAUUUCCGCCCAGUCAAUAAGGUCAUGGUGACCGACUCCUACCCCACCCCAUGUAUCAGCGAUAUAUUAGAAUUGCUUGGUUCGUCAAAGAUUUUUUCGACAUUAGACACAGCUAACACGUACAACAUAAUUUCAGUAGAAAAAAAGUCCCGUCCUUUAACUGCAUUUGCAACAGCCUUUGGCAGUUUGCCCUCAUGCCCUUUGGUUAAAAAAUGCAGGUGCAGCAUAUUGUCUCUUAGUACAGGGUUUAGCUGAUAUGUUGGGUGAGGAAGGAGUCCUUGCUUACCUAGAUGAUUUGUUAAUACAUACUAAUCACCCUGAAACUCAUCUUAAAUUGCUUAAAUUAGUUUUUCAGGCACACAGAGAAGCUGGAAUUAAAUUAAGUGCGGAUAAAACAUUUUUGUUUAGGCAGGAAGUCAAAUACUUGGGACAUUUAAUCUCGGAGAAUGGGAUAAAUUAGUGCCAUCUUAUGUAAAUAAAAUUACUUGGCAUUUGGCAGGUGACAAUGGCAUAGAAGGCAGAGGACCCCCUCUUAUAGGAUCCAUACAAGGUAGCGAGACAAACCUGCCUCAUCCUUUCUGCCAAACUUCAGAGACGAUACCCCAACACCCCCAGCCCCACACCUUAGAGGAAGAGCUGGAAAGGAUAAUUGACCUUAUGCGCAGACAAGAUGCUGUUCAUAGAAGACGUCAAUUCAAAUCAUACUCGAAACCAAUUGAUGAUCUAAAGAUAAAUGAUCUAUGUAGCUGUACUUCCCCCCCCCCCAUUGGGAACUUGCGGAAACUCCAACUGAAAUGGAGUGGACCUCUACAAAUCACAGAAAUAAUGAAGCAAGCUAUGGUAAUGAUCAGGGAGAUCAAUGUCCCCAACCCUUGCCAAUAUGAUGCCCACAUCAGCAAACUUCAACUGGCAAAGAAAUUUGGAGAACAAGAUUUGAAUCCAUUUUCCUAUUACCAAGACUACAAAAAGAAAACAUGUUACAGUUGUCCAACGAACUCUCCAAAAUCAAUUUACCGUGUAAGAUUAAUGAUAAAUUAGUUGAUAAAUUCUACGAAGAUAUCAACCAUGGGAGUCAACACCAAGAUAAUGAAUCAUCAAAAGAACCAAUCAGAAGCAACACCGGAAGAAGAGACAGCAAGAAAAGUUUGCAACAAAACAGAUUCAAUCAGAGGCAAAAAUUCAUCUAAUGGACUAAUCAUAAGCAACACUAGAAGUAGUGGCAGCAAGAGCAGCAAACUACCGAGAUGAAAAGCCAAACCUCAGGAGAAGAUCACCAAGAAGAAGAGUCUGAAGAUGAUCAUGAUCUCUAACAAUCGUUCAGGGACUUGGAUCAAUCAAUCAGUCAGUCAAUCAAUCAAUCAAUCAACAGAUCACCAGGACAGAGGAGUAGCAGCAACUCACUGGAGCAAGAUUUCACUAGUCAUUUCAAUGUUUAUGAAAUUGGAGAAGGAGAACUCACGCUAGGGAGGGAAGGCCAAGAAGCCAUGAACCCCGUGGAAAAUCUCCGAACCCUGUGGAAUGGUC
Eurytemora carolleeae is the source of this 3495-nucleotide RNA transcript. RefSeq lists it as uncharacterized. The record is from RefSeq and is a predicted model, not a curated record. The transcript has 3 exons. Lineage: Eukaryota; Metazoa; Arthropoda; Copepoda; Calanoida; Temoridae.